UUUUUUUUAAGUUUUCCUUUAUGUACAGGUAACAGCAAUGGGGGAAUAGGACGAAGCAAUAGAGAAAAAAAGCACAAGCACCUCACUAAACUUGCAGACAAAACCAGAAAGGGUACUGUACCCGGGAGCUCAAAAAAGGAAUAAAAACAAAAUCUCGGUAGUCAGCAGCCCUAAGAGGUGCGAACGAUUCCCCCAAUAUACUAAACAAAAACCAUAUUUUCCCUGCAUCCAAACCAAACACGUGCUGCUAACUUUACCAUCGCAACAAGCUUGUAUUUUAGGCAAUUUUCCCAUUAAUGGGUGAUCAUGCAAGUAAAAUGAUUGUCAUUUAAACCUGUUGAUACAGCAUAUCAAAGUUAUUUUCAGAUGAGAUUUGCUUAAAUGCAUCAUGACAAAUUUUGUUCUCUAGUUUUUUUAAUAUAAGGAAAGAAAUAACCUUUCCUGUAUUAAAAAAAUAUAUAUAAAGCUAAAAUAACUUUUCUAUAUAAAAAGGUGCAAUUUCAUGUUAUAUUCUUAUUAAAAGCAAAAUCUCUUAUAUUACUUUGUAAAUCUUACCUGUAUUAAAAUUUUCUAUAUAUAUGCAUUUAUUAUUCAUUAAUUUAUUUUUUAUAUAGUAUCGGUCUAUAAACCGUGGUUAAGUAUAAAUAUAGCUUUGAGGGUUGGACUCUCUUGAAAACAUUUUAUAUUUUUGAUAAAGUUUGAAUCAUCUACAGCAUUGUUAAAGGUAGAUUUUGUCUGCUCUUUUGGCUACCAUUAUUUCAGCUCAACUCUUCUAGCUUGUGGUUCUUCUUCUUUUAACUCUUAGAUCUUUAUUCAUGAAAAAAAUACAGCUUUUCUUUUAUCAAGUGUUUUCUCUUUUUCUACCAUCUAUUUAACUAACAAGCUCCUUUUUUCUGUUUUUGAUUCUUAUGCAAGCAGAACCUCCAGCUUGAAGACUGAACAGAAAAGAUGGACAUAAUGUUUGGUAUCUUAAUCACAGUCGCUAUAAUCCUGGUUUCCACACUUCUUUUCUGGGUGUGCCGAUGCAUCGUUAAUGAACCUAAGGAAGCAGCAAAGAAAAUAACAGAAGGUGUUAAGGAUUUCACGGGUCAAGACCCACCAGUAUAACCAUCGAAAGGAUAUCAUAACCAGUUUAGUGCCUCUCAUCUCGUGGAUACAAAGCACUAAUAGGUUCUAGUUCAUUAAUAUCUUCAAAAUUUAGUUGCAAUGGAGUCAUUACUAUUUAAGUUGUGACCAUGGAGCUUUUCUUUGGUUCCCUAAAUUUUCAUCGGAAUUUUUGCAUUGCAUCAAGUUAAUUUUUAUAUCGAAUUUGUUUACAUAUAUUAUAAAAUCUCAUUAAGUUAGCUUUCUUCUCUAUCCUACUGACAGAUAAGUUUAAUAUCAAAUAAUGCAUAUAUAUAUGUGUGUGUGUGUGUGUGUGAGUCACGGCAUACCCAGCAACAAGUUUUAAGCAGGAAACCAAGCAGUUACUUACCACUGCAAUCCCAAGCAGACAAUUUCCUCACAGUUCCUACUUUCUGUUGUUAAUAUCAGUUGCUGGACUUGAUCAACACAUUCACCAAAUUUCUCAUCACAUCUUUAGCAAUCUCAGUUCUUCCCUCUUAUUUCUUCUUCUCUGUUUUCGACUCUGUAAAUAAAUUGUUUAGAACAUCGUGAAAAAAACAAGCAAAUUUAAGAGUAUCAUAGCAAGCCUCUGACCCUUAUCCUCCUUCUACAAAACUGGCAACUGGUUUUGAAAACUUAUAUUAACUUCACAAAUGGCUGUCCUCGUUCAGACAAAUUAGCUAAAUGACUGGACAGCAGGUGGAGAAAUCAUGUCGAGCCCCAUCAAUCAUGUCUGCAUGAAGAAACUUUCUAGGAGUAAACUAAUGGAUCCCAACUGCAAGUCACGUACGCAGCACCAGAAAUUGCAAGGAUAAAGCUGUGUUUGCUUAUAGAAAUCAAUUUUUCAAUUCACUACUCUGUUUUUCAUCUUUCUAUAAUCAUCUCUCAAGAAAACGUGUUUACCAACAAAUAAUUUUCUAGAAUAUAGAUCAAGGGCCGCAUUUGGAUUGUUUCUAAAAUAAAAAAUUGGAAAAAUAGAACACUGUUUCCAAGAAAACAGUAACAUGUUAUCCACAGCUUUCUAUUUUCUAGGGAAAAAAGAGAAUCUGAAAACUUUUGCACAAGUAAACAUGACCUAAAUUUUUUUCUGGAGUCCGAAUUGAAAUCCACAAGGUUGUCUGAAAUCAAAUAUAUGCAUGUGAAAGUAGCCUGACGACUUUUAAAUGUCAUAAAGAAUAUCUUGUAUAGAGAUCAGUAACUAGUCAACACAUAAAAUCAAACUUAGCGAGAGACUAGUGAAAUAAAACCAAAUAUUGAGAGAACCAAACAAAUAUAAGACCAUGCAGUACCUUCUAACUGGAGACAUUCAACAUUCUUGAGUGUUUUCUGCUCAAGCUCCAGCUCUUCAUCAAGCAUAAAUGUGUUGGCAAAAUCACUUGAAAGAUCAGCAAGAUUCUGUGCAUCUUCCAUCCCUUCAGUCCCAUGAUAAUUGAAUGUCGGAGGCCCAGUUCCUUGUGCACGGUCCAAAUGGGGAGUGCUAUGACAAGCACCAAGCUCUGAAUUCCCAUCACAUCCUGGUUUUCCAGCUGCCUUGACUGUAGUGUGCGAAGCAAAUCCAGCGCUUCCUUUGGAGACACUGAUUGUGUCAUCUUCCUCGGCAUUCUCUCCAGCUUGGCCCUAGGAAGUCUGAGCUUUAUUAAAAUACAUUAAGUUAAUGAAUUUAAUGUUGCUUUAAGUGUAAUAUAAUGAUAUAAAACUUUAUUAAAAUAUAUUUUUAAGUAUUAGAAAUUUAAAGAAAAUGAGUUAGGGUUUUAACUGAAUUGAAGAAGAAGAAGAAGAAAUGGGAGGGGAAGAAAGAAUUGUUAGGUUUUAAUUCCUUUUCAAAUCACCGACUAACAUUACAUCAUUAAUUUUGUUAUCAAUUUGACACGUUAAAAAUACCGAUAGAAUUUCUAAUGGAAUUUUUUUAUUCAGUUGUAGUUUUCAUCGGAAAUUUUCUUUCUAUAAAUAACAACAAAAUAUUUUUUGUCGUUAAUUUUGUUGUUUUUUUUUUUAAUUUUCUAGUAGUGUUUAUAUUUUUCUUGAUGCAUUAUAUAUAUAUAUAUAUAUAUAUAUAUAUAUAUAUAUAUAUAAUGCAUUAAGUAUUCAAAUGUUUUCCUUUUUAUACAUGAAAAGUGAUUUUUUCUUCUUUUGAAAAAAAUCAGAACUUUCUUUAUGAUCUUUACCAUUACAGCUUCAAUAUAGCAUUACAGCUUCUAGAGUUGAAGAAAUUGCUUCAUAUUCUGAAAGAAGAGAGAAUUUUCUAGUCAAAAUGAUGUCGGUGAUAUAAUUAAUUGGAAAAGGUGAAGAGUAGGAUCCAUUAGUUUUUUUAUAUAAGGAAAAAAAUAACCUUUCCUGUAUAAAAAGGAAAAUAUAAACCUAAAAUCAUUUUCCUGUAAAAAAAGGUCUAAUUUCUUUUUCUAUUCUUAUUAAAAGUAAAACCUCUUAUAUUGCUUUGUAAAUCUUUCUGUAGUAAAUCUUUCUAUAUAUAUACAUUUAUUAUUCAUUAAUUUAUUUCCCGUAUAGUACCGGCUUAUAAAACGUGGUUAAGUAUAAAUAUAGCUUCGAGGGUUAGGCUUUUUUGAAAACAUUUUAAAUUAUUGAUAAAGUCUGAAUCAUCUACAACAUUAUUGAAGGUAGAUUUUGUCUGCUCUUUUAGCUUCUAAUAUUUCGGCUCAGCUCUUCUAGCUUGUAGUUCUUCUUCUUUUAACUCUUAAAUCUUUGUUCAUGAAAGAAACACAGUUUUUUUUUUAUCAAGUGUUUUCUCCUUUUCUACCAUCUAUUUAGCUAACAAGCUCUUUUUUCUGUUUUUAAUACUUGUGCAAGCAGAACCUCCAGCUUGAAGACUAAACAGCAAAGAUGGACAUAAUGUUUGGUAUCUUAAUCACAAUUGCUAUAAUCCUGGUUUCCACACUUCUUUUCUGGGUGUGCCGAUGCAUCGUUAAUGAACCUAAGGAAGCAGCAAAGAAAAUAACAAAAGAUGUUAAGGAUCUCACGGAUCAAGACCCACCAGUGUAACCAUCGAAGGGAUAUCAUGACGAGCUUAGUGCCUCUCAUCCCAUGAAUACAAAGCACUAAUAGGUUCUAGUUAAUUAAUAUCUUUAAAAUUUAGUUGCAAUGGAGUUAUUAUUAUUUAAGUUGUGACUGUGAAGCUUUUCUUUAGUUUUCUAAAUUUUUAUCGGAAUGUUUGCAUUAAAUCAAGUUAAUUUUUAUAUCGGAUUUGUUUACUUAUAUUAUAAAAUCUCAUUCUUGUGUUGUUUUCUUAUAGAUGUUGUCAAGUGUGAACUGUAAAACCAGUCACAUAGAAUGAUUGGAUGUCCUUUCUCUCUUUUUAUUUUCUUUUAGGUGGUCUUCGGUUGUAUAAAAACAUAAGAAAUGAGUGAAAUAUGAUGUUCAUUCAAAUAUACAAUUUGGGUCAAGCCUUGAAUUCUUAUUCUCAAAUUAGGUAAAUGGAUGUCUGAGAUUUAGGAACACUCUGAUGAAAUAAAAUCGUCCUCCUUAACUAUAGUAGUAUACUAAAUUAUGUAAAUGGAAUGUAUAGCAUGCUGAGAAGAGAUUUUUUGUACUAGAGGUUUGAGGUGCCCGUGUUAAAUCCUCGUUAACUACGUAUUUUGUUGGGCUAUCCAUCCCUUCUCCACCUUUAUUUCUAUCCUUCUUGCCUUUUCUAUGCAAAGGAGCAUCCUCCUCCAAUCUUUGCUUCCCAAUACCUUCCCACGGUUUCUUCGUAUUGAAGGUUGCAAAAAUAGCUGCGUUGAUAGCAGCCAACAUGUGAGAAAUCAUUGUUUAAAACCCGAGCUAGCCUGGCAAAUCAACCCUGCACCAGGCCGCACCCCAGGUCAACUCCUUGAUUGGGUUUUAACCCGAUAAUUGUAGCAGUGAAAAACAGAAAAGGGUAGUGCUGGUUCCGUUUUGUAAAACUAAGGGCAUAACAUAACUCUUUCCAAACCAUCAUCAGAGUACAAAAGAAAGUGUAAAAAAAAAAAAAAAUCUAAUGAUCACUUAUCAGCAAGAAAAAAAUAUUUCCAAUAUCUUAUUCUUCAAUUUUCACAAGGGUCGCUCGCUACAGCUGUUUUUUUUUUUUUUUUUUUUUUUUUAGUUUUCCUUUAUGUACAGGUAACAGCAUUGGGGGAAUAGGACGAAGCAAUAGAGAAAAAAAGCAAAAGCACCUCUCCAAACUUGCAGACAAAACCAGAAAGGAUGCUGUACCCGGGAGCUCCAGAACCUCAAAAAAGGAAUAAAAACAAAAUCUCGGUAGUCAGCAGCCCUAAGAGGUGCGAACGAUUCCCCCAAUAUACUACUAUACAAAAACCAUAUUUUCCCUGCAUCCAAACCAAACACGUGCUGCUAACUUCAACUCCCUUUCUCUUCUUCCUGGGUGAUUAUCAAAAUUGAGAGGAUGUUACCCGGAAAUAGUCAUU
Molecule: long non-coding RNA, 5501 nt
Filed under: Populus trichocarpa (black cottonwood)
Lineage: Eukaryota; Viridiplantae; Streptophyta; Magnoliopsida; Malpighiales; Salicaceae
Description: long non-coding RNA (PTRI_LNC002253)
Source: RNAcentral